AUGGACGAGGUGUGGCCGUGGCUGGCCACCCUCCCUCCUCCCGGCGCUGGCACCGGCACCGCCACGGCAUCCAUCCCCCUCGCCGCCUCCCCCGAGGCCGAGGGCGCCUCCAUCGUCCUGCAGGCCGACUGCACCACCACCGCCGACGGCGGCACGGCCGUCGUCGCUUUCUCCAUCGCCGUAGACAGUGCCAACGGCGUGGCUCGCCGCGUACUCUGGACGUCCGAGGCAUUCGCGGCAGCCUCCGAGGUCGCCCCGCGGCUGCUGCUUCUGGCCCAGCUGCUCGACGAGGUGACCGCGCUCUCGCCGUCCAUCACUUCCUUGAGAAGAGAACCGGACGCGUCGUCGUCGGAGUCGAAGCUGCUGGACGCGGAGGUCGUGUCCGCCGUCAUCGCGGCCACGGGCGUCGAUGAUGGUUCACACUUCUUCUCGCUGGCGCUGCUCAUGCGUCUCUUCUGGCUGUGCGCCCUGGAGGCCCCCGCGGACCUUGGGUUCCUCUUCUUCCAAGCUCUUAGCACGGACAUCGAGCGCGCCCUCGCCGGCUGCGCCCCGGCGGCGCUCGGCGGGCUGCUGCUCUCCGUCGGCCCGGACGUCGAGGAGCGGUUCAUGCGGUCGCUCGGCUACAUGCUGGCCAAGUGGUGCCUGCUGCGGGAGAUGCAGUCGGCGCCCAAGCCGCCGGCCAAGCCCGACGUCGCGUGCCUGUCGUACGCCACGGAGGUGCACGGCCUCUGGGUGCUGAGAGGGUACGCGCCGGUGCUCGCCAUCCCCCGCGUCGCUGGUGCGACAUCGCCGGCGACGAUCACGGCCUUGCCUCAUGAGCUGCCGGAGGAGCCGGCGCUGCGGUACGGCCUGGUGCACCAGCAGCUGGAGGCCGUGGCCCAGGUGGAGUACGCGGUGAGCGUGCGAGACAAUGGCUUCAUCGUCGUCGGUGUGCACGUCGACAACAUACGGGUGCGCGUCGUGCGGCUCGGGUAUAGUAAGAAGGACGACACCGGCACUGGGGAAGACGACGUCGACGACGACCAUGUCUUGGACGGCGAGAGGCAUUUCCCGUCGCGUAUCCGGCUCUGGGUCGGCCCUAGGUUCGGCUCGUCCUACGCCACGGGCCCGAGCCUGGGCCGGUCGACGGGGAACCCGGAGCGGGAGGUCGAGAUGACGCGCACCGUCAAGGGCGCCUUCUCCGGCGCCACCAAGCUCGGCGGCGACCCGAGGGUGAAGGCGAAGAUGCGCUCGUCGUCGCGGGCACGGAACCGGAGCUGGCGGUGGGAGCAGGAGGCGGAGGGCAGCGCCGGCGUGUUCGAGGGCGUGCUGUGCGACCCGGCCACCGGGACGGAGGUCUCGUCGUGGCGCCCGGGCAGCAGAGAGGCCGACCCGCGCAGCGGCAUGAGGCGCCGGUACGGGGGCCCCGGGCGAGCGUUCAGCAAGAUGCGGGGGCUGGUGGUGGCCGGCGACGAGCUGCCGGAGGAGGUGACGUGGAGGGUAGGGAGGGAGGCGGAGGGGAGGACCAUGAGGUGGCGCCUGGGACUCAAGGUCUGGCUGAGCUACCUGCCCAACGAGGUGAGGAGCCGUCAUUUCGAGACCAGGUGCGUCGAGUGGGCGCACGAGGUCGAGCUACCGCUAAUGGCGACGACUCCAUUGUAA
RNAcentral lists this ribosomal RNA (1641 nucleotides) under Triticum aestivum (bread wheat). RNAcentral's name for it is "partial small subunit ribosomal RNA". The record is from RNAcentral. Lineage: Eukaryota; Viridiplantae; Streptophyta; Magnoliopsida; Poales; Poaceae.